GGCGCAGACACAAAGGCAAACAAUCCCAAACACAGGCUUUGCCCUCCUUGUACGUUGAGACAAAGGAAGCAGAAAUGAGCCUGGGAUCACAGUCUGCGCUGAGCAGCAUGGAGCAAACAGGGCGUCCCCUUCUCAGUGACAGAGGGACUUGGGCUGACCAACCGUCUUGGCUUCCCUGGGACUGUCCCAGCUCAGCACUGAAAAUCUCAUGCCGAUGAAAACCCCCGCAGGCCUGGGCAGAUGGGAACCUUGGUCACUCUUGCAGAAACUUGAGUCAGAAAUAAAGCAACUUCUCCCAGGCCAUGUGGAAAAGCCAUGUGUGAACCAGAGGAACAAGUACAACAGAGCCGCUGAGUACACCCCAACACAGAGGAGCCAGCGCUCACCGAGAGAUUUGCCAAGUGGAGUCCUUUUGAGACAUCCAAAUUUCACUGUCUUCAACUUAUUAAUGUGAAACAAAGAAUAACGUAUAUGUGUGUGUAAACACGAAUAGUAACAGCUUAUAUUUGUAAACAAUGUGCCGUGCGCCCAGCACUACAUUAAGCAGUCUCCAUGCAGCACCUCCAUUAAUCCUGGGGAGCACUGUACCCACUUCAAGAGGCCUUUAGAAGAGCAAGUAACAAAAACUGGUGGAAAAAAAGCACACAUUCAACAGGAAGCAACAUCUAGAGACCUUUCUGCCUUCCAGGAUACAAAAAGAAAACAGUUCAUAAACAACUUACAUCUAAACCAGUAAUGUUGUCUCCCUGGCUCAUAGGAGCUGAAGAAGAAUUCCAGUUACUGUAGUAAGAAUAUAAGGAUGUGGACUGGUUUGAGGAUGCUUGAGGCAUGACUAUAGCAAGUACUGCGCAUACAUAUGUGGACAUCGAAUUCCAUGAUCUACACACAGAUGACACCAAAAUCGGAACAGCAAUGUCCACCCUUCUCCCGAGCCCUAGGUCGGUGCCUCUGUCCACCUGUGUCUCCUGAAACUUCAACACAGACUUCAAAUGGAGUGGCAGAAAACCAGAUUCCUUAGGGAAAGGAAGGUCUCCCAGACGGCAGGAGCGGCAGGCCUUAGGGGCAGCCGCAGGGGCUCGGGAGUCUGAACAUACCCGGUUUGAAUUCAGACUCUGGCACGCCCCAUGCGAUCAUAACAUAGUGCUGCACGUCUCAAGCCACCUAUAAAAACGGGGACAAUAACAAUAUCUGCCUCGGGGUUAAUGGAUUAGAUGUGUCGGUCCAUAGACGUUGCUGGCCACAUAGUUAAGUGGUGCGUUCACUCACUGGGCAUUGAUGGAGCGCCUACUACGUGCCAGGCCUGUUUUACGCGCCGGGGGCCCAGAGGCGCCCAGGUCAGACAAAGUGUAAACGAUUCCGACCAGAGCCCUUCAAUCUGCAUUCCGCUUCGCAGGAAACUCUCCUCCUUUUAUGAUUUUCAGCCGGACUGCCUUCCCUGUUGUUAGUUUGUAACUUUCGCUCCGGCCCCCGCAGCCUCGCGCCUGCCUUCCCUCCACUGUCCUCAGCCAAGGUGUAGUAAAGCGUCUCCGAACGCGGCGCGACCCUCGCCCACGCCCGCUCGCGGGGGGA
RNAcentral lists this long non-coding RNA (1569 nucleotides) under Homo sapiens (human). Its description in RNAcentral is "HSALNT0309567". The record is from RNAcentral. Lineage: Eukaryota; Metazoa; Chordata; Mammalia; Primates; Hominidae.